GACGAACGCUGGCGGCGCGCCUAACACAUGCAAGUCGAACGGAGCUGAGAGAAGCUUGCUUUUCUUAGCUUAGUGGCGAACGGGUGAGUAACGCGUGAGUAACCUGCCCUGGAGUGGGGGACAACAGUUGGAAACGACUGCUAAUACCGCAUAAGCCCACGGCCCGGCAUCGGGCUGAGGGAAAAGGAUUUAUUCGCUUCAGGAUGGACUCGCGUCCAAUUAGCUAGUUGGUGAGGUAACGGCCCACCAAGGCGACGAUUGGUAGCCGGACUGAGAGGUUGAACGGCCACAUUGGGACUGAGACACGGCCCAGACUCCUACGGGAGGCAGCAGUGGGGGAUAUUGCACAAUGGGGGAAACCCUGAUGCAGCGACGCCGCGUGGAGGAAGAAGGUUUUCGGAUUGUAAACUCCUGUCGUUAGGGACGAUAAUGACGGUACCUAACAAGAAAGCACCGGCUAACUACGUG
This 468-nucleotide ribosomal RNA is filed under the name uncultured bacterium. RNAcentral's name for it is "partial 16S ribosomal RNA". It matches the Rfam family "Bacterial small subunit ribosomal RNA", at positions 28 to 507 of the family's 1533-position model. The record is from RNAcentral.